Felis catus (domestic cat) is the source of this 1001-nucleotide long non-coding RNA. RefSeq lists it as uncharacterized. The record is from RefSeq and is a predicted model, not a curated record. The transcript is spliced from 3 exons. NCBI's taxonomy places the organism in Eukaryota, Metazoa, Chordata, Mammalia, Carnivora, Felidae.
UCUCUCUGUCUUUCAAAAAUGAAUAAACAUAAAAAAAAUUAAAUCUAUAAUCUUCUAAUGUAGAAGGCAAUCUGGUUAUCUAAUGAAUAUUAAUGAAAUUCAUUUCUUUAUAUUCUUUAUAAAACUGUGUAUGUUGGGAUGAGUUCUUAAACAUCUACUUACAUUCUAGGUUAAAUCUUGCCACAUAAAGAACUGCCUCCUUUCGUGAACAAAUGUGCCAAAUCAGCUUGGUUCUGCUUGAUGGUUCUCACACCUUUAGUGUUCUUAAGACAACAUUUUUAUGUUGCCAGAUGUAACCCAGAUGUCAAAAUAUGGUUCCCAGGUGAAUGAACACUUAUCUGUUUCAUUUGGCAUCACUCUCUAUUUCUGAGCCAUGACUUCUGAAUGAAUGUGUGUCUUUUGAAGACUUGGUUGCAACUGGCUGAAAAGCAAUGAGAUAGUGUCAAGGUCCAACAUAAACCUCCGGGGCUAUCCCUGUUGACAGCAACAGAAAAUCCACCACUGAUCUUACUACUCUGAAGAGGGCAACUGCACGUGCAGCCAUGAAUAGAAGAGGGUGGAAACAUCCGGGGCGGAGUAUUGGCUGCUGAUGUGGAUCUUUCGUGUCUACUCCGCCUUCCACGCACUGCCUCCAGAUAGUAUGAUUUGGCAACAAGAAAAGCAACAGUUUAAUGGAAGCAAUGAAAACUCUGUCUCCUACAUUAUUUUUAUUCCCUUUCCCCACAAAUGAGGAAACUGGCAGUUUUGCUGACAGUUGAAUAAUGCACUUCAUUUUGCUACUGUUUUCAAUGACUUUCUCAGUUUCUUGUUUAAUAAAUCAAUGCCAAAAGAAAACUUGGAGGUAAACAGAUUUUAAUUGAAUCUUUGUGAUGUUUAAUAUCUGGGAAUUUGGAAAAUGUCGAAUUAUGAAUAAUUUGGGAGGAGCUUAUUUUGUUUGAAUAUCUGGCAUUGAGUAUUAUAACAGCUUUCUGAUGGGAAGACAAACAUUUAAGGAGCUCUCU